Molecule: long non-coding RNA, 1873 nt
Organism: Antechinus flavipes (yellow-footed antechinus)
Lineage: Eukaryota; Metazoa; Chordata; Mammalia; Dasyuromorphia; Dasyuridae
Exons: 3
Source: RefSeq, a predicted model, not a curated record
ACACACACACACACACACACACAUAUAUAUAAGUCUCUUAUGUGUGGUUUUCUAGUGGAGCUAGUCUGAUCACAUCUAUUGCUUUACUCCCCAUUCCCCACCUUGGCUGAGGUAAAAUUUAAUGAAUUUCCUAAUUCUUUGUACAAAGUGAAAACCCUAUUUUUAUGCAUUAUGGGAGCUGAUGCUAAUAUCUGUAUUGAUGCUAUGAGACUUUGAGAUGAUCACAAAUAUAAAAUGAAUUCAAACUUUUGUUGUAGUAAUAACUCUUGAAACACUAACAAACUAAGAAGAAUGUGGGAGAAAAAAGAAUGCCACAGAUGGGUUUGGGAUACCUCUAAAAUGCAUAAAAUGCAAUAUGGACAAUAUUCAUCAUGAUAUUGAAAUGGAACUAUUCAAGAAUUAAAAUGUACCAUUGCCAUAAUCUUACUGGAUGAUCUUUUCUCAAAUUUCAGAUCUUCCAAAACGGCAUUGUUAUCAGUAGAUACAUAAAAGCAAAACUUAUAGAGUAUGUUUUAUUCAAUAUCAGUUGCUAAAGAUACUAAUUAUGUGAUGGCGGUCACUUAAUGAGUGGAUAUUAGUAGAUAGUAGCUGUGAAAGUGCAAAAAUUUUGCAUAUUCUUCUGCCUUUGUCUAGAGUAUCAUUUCCAGAGCCAUAACCUCUCUCCAAACGAAGAAAAAACGGAAGGAGAUUGUAAGAAGGAGGAAAGGAGAAAGGAAGGAAGGAACAAAAGAAAGAAGGAAAGGAACAAAGAAAGAAAAAAGAAACAAAGAAAGGAGCAAAGAAAGUCAUUGAAGUCCAAGUGGUAUGACAAAAGUCAGGAUGACUGCGGAUGGCCCAGGAUGCAGUAGAUGACUUGACAUCUUCCUUGAAUGACCAAGCCCUAUGUACUCCGCGACACCUGUUCUAUCCACCUUCAUGGCUUUUGAAACAACUAGUUCUUAUCCAUCAUUCUGCUGAGGGAAGUCUUCACAUGUUUGGGAUAGACUUCUUUCUAACUCACUACAGAGUUUGAGGCCUCUCUAUUACUUUCAAUAUACUUUGGCUUGUUUUCCCAGACAGUUUUAUCAGGUUGUGGUCACUGUGUAAGCUACAGCUUCUUGGAGCCACAGAUUCAUCAAAGUCCAGUGACAGGACAAAAGUCAAGACAAAUGACUAUGGUAUGUAGUGGAUGAUGACUUUGGUGUCUUCAGUAUCUGAUCAAGCUCUUAAGUACUUCACAGUGUUUGCUUCAGCCACUUUCAUAUCCAUGGGAACAAGUUUUCAUUCUGCCUGAGAAGUCCUUACAUGUUUGAGGUGGAUAUCCCCCCCCAGCUACUGACAAAUUUGAAACCCCUUGUUACCUUCAACCUGGCUUAGCUACAGCUUCUUGGAAUCACAGGUAAGAGUUGGGUGAAUCAGAUGGCCAACAAACAGGGCCUGAAAAGGACUCAACAAGUCCUCAUCCCAGAGUUGCUAGUCCUUUCAGAUCAUUCCACACACCUCAUUUAAAAGCUAAAAUGGAGGUGAAAGGAGAGGUAGAAGUACUUGGCAAGGGGAUUAAUGAUCAGUGGAGUCCAGACAGAUGGGAAGUGUAGAGAUGGCUUCACUUAUUGUUGUCCUAAAAUAGAGCAGUCUCAUCUUCCACCUUUUCCAGUCAAAAAGAAGAUGGUUUUUGAAGAGAUGUGAGUUCCAGGGUUGAUGAGGUCUUGCAGGAGUAUGAGGUUCCUGAAAGAAUAAGGAAAUCAGAGAACAGCCAGAUGGAAAUGAAGUUGUUUUGCACAUUGGAUGAAGAGAGAUUAUUUUAUACAAGAAAUGUCUUGAAUUUAUCUAAUUGUCUUAUCAAAUCUCUUAUAAUGUGGCCCUACUUAAAUACUCAAUAAAAGACUUUUAGUAA